This 253-nucleotide ribosomal RNA is filed under the name uncultured bacterium. RNAcentral describes it as "partial 16S ribosomal RNA". It matches the Rfam family "Bacterial small subunit ribosomal RNA", at positions 524 to 776 of the family's 1533-position model. RNAcentral also lists the same sequence under 1 other name. The record is from RNAcentral.
UACGAAGGGGGCUAGCGUUGCUCGGAAUUACUGGGCGUAAAGGGCGCGUAGGCGGUUUCGUUAGUCAGGCGUGAAAUUCCUGGGCUUAACCUGGGGACUGCGCUUGAUACAGCGAGACUCGAGGUCAGAAGAGGGUCGUGGAAUUCCCAGUGUAGAGGUGAAAUUCGUAGAUAUUGGGAAGAACACCGGUGGCGAAGGCGGCGACCUGGUCUGAUACUGACGCUGAGGCGCGAUAGCGUGGGGAGCAAACAGG